UGGCUAGGAAGGUCAAAGAGGUUUUCUAAUCGAUUUUGUCCUAGGUUUGUGCAAUAAUCAAUACUUAGUUAAAGGAAGUGCAUGCCAUUCCGGAUCCAUAAAAUAUGUUCGUUAUUUUUUAGCUUUUUCUGUCUCCACAUUGUUAGCUAGCUAGUAACGUUAACUCACUGCUAUCUGAAGACGUUACAGCUAGCCCACAGUAGUUUGGAAAUGGCUAGAUAUCGCUCCAGCCGUAAUUGUUAUCCAACAAGCGAGAUCUUAUGCAGAACGGUUAUCAGCAAUUCAAUAUGAAAGAUGAAACACACAUCGACGGCAAGGCCAUCUCUUUGGAGUGUCAAAGUCACUCGGUUUUUUUUUUGCAGGGAGUUCACAGUUAGCCCCGCUAAAGUCUCCAUAGGCAGAAUGGUGGUGUACACUUGUGCUGUCUGCCUAUCUGCCUACACAUAUUCUUCUUUACUGAGAACACAGCCGUUCUCUCCAGUGUCAUAAUCAUCACCCUGGUCGGUAUGAUGGUCCACAUCCACUUUGUGAACGUGGACCAUGUGAGACGCUGCUCAUCAUUGGUUCCCUGGGUGACCAGGUGUCUUCUAGCGACGCCUCCGGCACUGAGUCCUACAGGCUUCAUAGAGAUGGGCAAGAUCAAAGACAUAGUAAAUAAUGAAGCUGUUCACAUGCCAUCUACUACCUGUGCAUCCUGCUGAAAGACCUCGCAGAUCCUGAUGCCGUUUCUUGCGUGUCCCGCUGUUUCAG
Long non-coding RNA from Salvelinus namaycush (lake trout), 750 nucleotides. RefSeq lists it as uncharacterized. NCBI's taxonomy places the organism in Eukaryota, Metazoa, Chordata, Actinopteri, Salmoniformes, Salmonidae. The record is from RefSeq and is a predicted model, not a curated record. The transcript is spliced from 3 exons.